Molecule: transfer RNA, 73 nt
Filed under: Methanomicrobia archaeon
Lineage: Archaea; Methanobacteriati; Methanobacteriota; Methanomicrobia
Also listed under: 2 other names
Description: tRNA-Pro
Rfam family: tRNA
About the family: Transfer RNA (tRNA) molecules are approximately 80 nucleotides in length. Their secondary structure includes four short double-helical elements and three loops (D, anti-codon, and T loops).
Source: RNAcentral
GGGGCUGUAGGGUAGCCAGGGAUCCUGCCAGCCCGGGGCGCUGGUGACCGGAGUUCAAAUCUCCGCAGCCCCA